CAGUUCGGAUUGUAGUCUGCAACUCGACUACAUGAAGCUGGAAUCGCUAGUAAUCGCGGAUCAGAAUGCCGCGGUGAAUACAUUCCCGGGUCUUGUACACACCGCCCGUCACACCAUGGGAGUCGGAAAUGCCCGAAGCCAGUGACCCAACUGAAAGGAGGGAGCUGUCGAAGGCAGGUCUGAUAACUGGGGUGAAGUCGUAACAAGGUAUC
RNAcentral lists this ribosomal RNA (212 nucleotides) under uncultured bacterium. RNAcentral's name for it is "partial 16S ribosomal RNA". It matches the Rfam family "Bacterial small subunit ribosomal RNA", at positions 1289 to 1500 of the family's 1533-position model. The record is from RNAcentral.